Molecule: ribosomal RNA, 253 nt
Filed under: uncultured bacterium
Lineage: Bacteria
Description: partial 16S ribosomal RNA
Rfam family: Bacterial small subunit ribosomal RNA
Source: RNAcentral
UACGAAGGGGACUAGCGUUGUUCGGAAUUACUGGGCGUAAAGGGCUCGUAGGCGGCCAACUAAGUCAGACGUGAAAUCCCUCGGCUUAACCGGGGAACGGCAUCUGAUACUGGAUGGCUGGAGUUCGGGAGAGGGAUGCGGAAUUCCAGGUGUAGCGGUGAAAUGCGUAGAUAUCUGGAGGAACACCGGUGGCGAAGGCGGCAUCCUGGACCGACACUGACGCUGAGGAGCGAAAGCGUGGGGAGCGAACAGG